This 325-nucleotide ribosomal RNA is filed under the name uncultured bacterium. Its description in RNAcentral is "bacterial SSU rRNA". It matches the Rfam family "Bacterial small subunit ribosomal RNA", at positions 28 to 334 of the family's 1533-position model. The record is from RNAcentral.
GAUGAACGCUGGCGGCGUGCUUAACACAUGCAAGUCGAACGGAGAGCCUAUGAGGGAGUUUUCGGACAACUGAUUAGGUUUCUUAGUGGCGGACGGGUGAGUAACGCGUGAGUAACCUGCCUUGGAGUGGGGAAUAACACAUCGAAAGGUGUGCUAAUACCGCAUAAUGCAGUUGGGUCGCAUGGCUCUGACUGCCAAAGAUUUAUCGCUCUGAGAUGGACUCGCGUCUGAUUAGCUAGUUGGUGGGGCAACGGCCCACCAAGGCGACGAUCAGUAGCCGGACUGAGAGGUUGACCGGCCACAUUGGGACUGAGACACGGCCCAG